GUAUAUGUACUACAUUUUCUUGAUCCAUUGAUCUACUGAGGGGUAUCUGGGUUGGUUUUAGUCAUAGUAAAUUGUGCUGUGAUGAACAUAGUUGUGCUGGUAGCUUUAGUGUCAACCAAGAUCUUUCUAUUUCUAAGUUCCCAUAUAGCUGACGUGAUAGGUGUGUACAGGUUUUCAUCAAUUGAAAUAGGGUUAUCUCAGCCAUGCGGUGGCCUUAAACUAUUUACCUCCUGAAUAGCUAGGAUCAUAGGUGUGAGCCACUGUGCUAGGACUUACUAGAUAUUCUGAUUACAUGUAUGUAAGACUUUUGUACAGAAAGUACAAAUAAAGUCGUUUAGUUUACAUCUCCCUGCUCUUUCAUAGAUGGUACAAGCUAUUUAAAAUUUUUUAAAUCAGUUAUGACUUUUGUAUACUAGUGUUUGAAUGCAGGGCCUCAUGCUUGUUAGGCAGGAGCUUUUUAACACUUAAGCCAUGCCCCCAACCCUUAAAUUAGUUACAACUUAAAUUUUCUUUUGUGUGCUAUUCCUAAUUUCAAAAUCAUUCCAGCUAUCUUUUCCAUUAAUAGUUCUUCCCUCACCCCACUGGGUUUGAGUUAUAUUCUUAUUGUUAUAAUAAAGGUGAUAUAUAAAGGGAUUCCAGUUACAUAAGUAAGGUAAUAAGUACACUUCUUU
Molecule: long non-coding RNA, 671 nt
Organism: Perognathus longimembris pacificus (Pacific pocket mouse)
Lineage: Eukaryota; Metazoa; Chordata; Mammalia; Rodentia; Heteromyidae
Exons: 2
Source: RefSeq, a predicted model, not a curated record